Molecule: ribosomal RNA, 527 nt
Filed under: uncultured bacterium
Lineage: Bacteria
Description: partial 16S ribosomal RNA
Rfam family: Bacterial small subunit ribosomal RNA
Source: RNAcentral
UGGGGAAUAUUGCACAAUGGGCGCAAGCCUGAUGCAGCCAUGCCGCGUGUGUGAAGAAGGCCUUCGGGUUGUAAAGCACUUUCAGCGAGGAGGAAGGUGGUGAACUUAAUACGUUCAUCAAUUGACGUUACUCGCAGAAGAAGCACCGGCUAACUCCGUGCCAGCAGCCGCGGUAAUACGGAGGGUGCAAGCGUUAAUCGGAAUUACUGGGCGUAAAGCGCACGCAGGCGGUUUGUUAAGUCAGAUGUGAAAUCCCCGGGCUCAACCUGGGAACUGCAUUUGAAACUGGCAAGCUAGAGUCUCGUAGAGGGGGGUAGAAUUCCAGGUGUAGCGGUGAAAUGCGUAGAGAUCUGGAGGAAUACCGGUGGCGAAGGCGGCCCCCUGGACGAAGACUGACGCUCAGGUGCGAAAGCGUGGGGAGCAAACAGAUUAGAUACCCUGGUAGUCCACGCUGUAAACGAUGUCGAUUUUGGAGGUUGUGCCCCUUNAGGCGUGGNUUCCGGAGCUAACGCGUUAAAUCGACCGCC